This 32-nucleotide non-coding RNA is filed under the name Mus musculus (house mouse). Lineage: Eukaryota; Metazoa; Chordata; Mammalia; Rodentia; Muridae. The record is from RNAcentral.
UUGUAUUUUGAGACAGGGUCUCACUUUGUAAC